CCUACGGGAGGCAGCAGUGAGGAAUAUUGGUCAAUGGGCGGAAGCCUGAACCAGCCAAGUAGCGUGCGGGAUGAAGGCCCUACGGGUCGUCAACCGCUUUUGCACGGGGAUAACACCCUCCACUUGUGGAGGUCUGCAGGUACCGUGCGAAUAAGGGACGGCUAAUUCCGUGCCAGCAGCCGCGGUAAUACGGAAGGCCCGAGCGUUAUCCGGAUUCAUUGGGCUUAAAGGGAGCGUAGGCGGUCGUUCAAGUCAGCUGUAAAAUCGCGGGGCUCAACCGCGCCCCGCAGUUGACACUGGACGCCUUGAGUUCACGACAGGCAGGCGGAAUUCGUGGUGUAGCGGUGAAAUGCAUAGAUAUCACGAGGAACCCCGAUUGCGAAGGCAGCCUGCCGGGGUGCGACUGACGCUGAGGCUCGAAGGUGCGGGUAUCAAACAGGAUUAGAUACCCUAGUAGUC
RNAcentral lists this ribosomal RNA (459 nucleotides) under uncultured bacterium. RNAcentral describes it as "partial 16S ribosomal RNA". It matches the Rfam family "Bacterial small subunit ribosomal RNA", at positions 338 to 795 of the family's 1533-position model. The record is from RNAcentral.